AUACGUAGGGGGCGAGCGUUAUCCGGAAUUAUUGGGCGUAAAGAGUACGUAGGUGGUUUCCUAAGCGAGGGGUUUAAGGCACUGGCUUAACCAAUGUUCGCCCCCCGAACUGGGGAACUUGAGUGCUGGAGAGGAAAGCGGAAUUCCUAGUGUAGCGGUGAAAUGCGUAGAUAUUAGGAGGAACACCAGUGGCGAAGGCGGCUUUCUGGACAGUAACUGACACUGAGGUACGAAAGUGUGGGGAGCAAACAGGAUUAGAUACCCUGGUAGUCCACACCGUAAACGAUGAGCACUAGGUGUCGGGCUCGCAAGAGUUCGGUGCCGCAGUUAACGCAUUAAGUGCUCCGCCUGGGGAGUGCGUACGCAAGUAUGAAACUUAAAUGAAUUGGCGGGG
This 394-nucleotide ribosomal RNA is filed under the name uncultured bacterium. RNAcentral describes it as "partial 16S ribosomal RNA". It matches the Rfam family "Bacterial small subunit ribosomal RNA", at positions 523 to 918 of the family's 1533-position model. The record is from RNAcentral.